GUGGGCACACCACCCGCGGCGAACGUUCCGGCGAAGUAGUCGUGCACUUCUCCCCUAGUAGAACGUCGCGACCCGUUGCGUGUCGGUCUACGGUCCGAGGCGAAGACUGUCYGUCGUUGAUAAAACGUUCGGUGACAGCCCCUCGGUUUCCCGGCCGACUGCGUGACGGUACUCACUUAAGACGGUAUAGGGCCGCAAAAUCUUUGUCGAACGCAUUUGCGUCCGGGACCGCCGCAAGCUCGUUCCAGUCUAGAUACCGGUAAUACGGACUAUGCGCCGUAACCGGGCCUGGCGGGUUGUUGGCAGGCGUGAGUCCUCGGACAGGCCAAACUUUGAAUUACCGGUCGGCGACGCUAUUGCUUUGGGUACUCUCAGGACCCGUCUUGAAACACGGACCAAGGAGUCUAACAUGUGCGCGAGUCAUUGGGAUUUGAUUAAACCUAAAGGCGAAAUGAAAGUGAAAGUCGUCCUUAGCGUCGACCRAGGGAGGAUGGGCCUUGUCACGAUUAGGCCUCGCACUCCCGGGGCGUCUCGUUCUCAUCGCGAGAAGAGGCGCACCUAGAGCGUACACGUUGGGACCCGAAAGAUGGUGAACUAUGCCUGGUCAGGACGAAGUCAGGGGAAACCCUGAUGGAGGUCCGUAGCGAUUCUGACGUGCAAAUCGAUCGUCGGAACUGGGUAUAGGGGCGAAAGACUAAUCGAACCAUCUAGUAGCUGGUUCCCUCCGAAGUUUCCCUCAGGAUAGCUGGCACUCGUUCGAACGCAAAUGACGAGUCUCAUCUGGUAAAGCGAAUGAUUAGAGGCCUUGGGGCCGAAACGACCUCAACCUAUUCUCAAACUUUAAAUGGGUGAGAUCUCUGGCUUGCUUGCAUCAAAAUGAAGCCACGAGAUAAAUUUUGUUAAAAUUAUUGGAUCAAGAGUGCCAAGUGGGCCAAUUUUGGUCUAGAGAGAGUUCAAGAGUACGUGAACCAAACGCAGAGUUAAGGCGCCUAAGUCGACGCUUAUGGGAUACCAUGAAAGGCGUUGG
RNAcentral lists this ribosomal RNA (1027 nucleotides) under Megachile sinuata. RNAcentral's name for it is "eukaryotic LSU rRNA". It matches the Rfam family "Eukaryotic large subunit ribosomal RNA", at positions 604 to 1227 of the family's 3401-position model. Lineage: Eukaryota; Metazoa; Arthropoda; Insecta; Hymenoptera; Megachilidae. The record is from RNAcentral.